CACUGCGAGCUAAAAAUCUGAUAAUAGCCAAAGUAGUGAGCGCAGCUACACAAUUGACUAUCAAUCGCGUUAUAUGAACGAUGUGGUAACCUAACCGACCUAUAUUCAAUGCUUGCUUAAAACAAUUGACCCACCCCCUUAAAAGGAAUUACAGCUAUAUCGGGCUAUAGAGGAAUAACAUUUCAUUAGCAAAUCAUUAGGGAAAUCUUGGUUCUAUAAACACACAAACGGGAAUGGAGUUUUAGUGAUCCGAGGACGCAAUAUUUACUCAAACAGGCUAAUUGAAUUUGUUUGUUUCGCAGUUCGAAUCAUGAUCAGCAGGAUGAACAUGGGAACCAGCGUAGAUUACGCCUCGACUGGCUAGAGGAAGCGCGUGAUGUUUCAGAAACGAGUGCCCAUGGGCCGAAUCGAAUGACAAAACACAAACCAGUACACAUACCAAUCUGACUUUUUACGACGACGUAUGAUAUAAUAAAACUUGUGCGCACCAUCUAGCUGAAAUUCUAUAGUACAGCCUAUUUGCCUCUCCCGGAAGCAUAGGGCGUAGCUAAACUACACUUGUAACCUUACUCAAGAAGCCCGAGUAACCUUCAUGCUUAUGGCCGAGAUAAAGCCUUAAUUAACCUUUAAUCUUCGUCUCCAGGAUAAUCUGUCGAAAAAAAGUAUGCAUCACAUGUGUAUACUUAUUAUCUAUAUAUUCACAUAUGCCGCCAGAAAAUAGUUAUAAAAAUGUUGCUCAGUUAGUUGUCCUUAAAGGAAAGAACAACCCAACUGCACCCUCUUCACGGCAGAAAUAGCGAGAGAGUCUUUGUAAGAUGCUCUCCGGCUUACCGACUAACGGGCUAAAUAGCUGCUUAGAAACGUACACGUCACUCCAACGAAGCAACAUGGCUUCCGAAGGGAACGGUCCACAGAAACGGCAAGCAGAAUCCUGAUGGCCGACGUCAAACGGGCACUGAUCACUCCGUGUAAUACGCUAAACAUAUUCAUCAACUUCAAGGCAGUGUCCGAUUCGGCGCCAAUCUCACUCUGGCCUAAGCAAAUGUCCCUACGAGUGUGCUCAACCUUCUCGCUGCGACUUCACAAAAGAACAACCUCUUCAAAAAGCGACUCGACACGUCUCUUAGCCGGCUCGCCAUUGCUGUCCGAGGAUCUACAUGGUCGCUUUUAGCUUCCAACUACGGAAGUUUCAAGACAAACAUUGGAAACUGGAAGCAAGAUUCGCGAAUAUCGAUGCCUUUCUUAGCUUCGGAGACGAUCAGGUACAACGAGUGGAACGGGACGAAUUAGCUAAGUAAAUAUGUUGUCACUGGACAUGUGUUCCCACAUAGAUUCUCCACCAACUAGGUUUUCGCGAGCCUAAGGACACGCCUAAAGCACAUGUAAGCACCCCAGAGACGGGGACUGUUGAUACAUAUUAUGCUGCUCGUUGUUUCCUGAUAUCAUCCUUAGGACGUUUGGUGGAUUUCUUAAAUUAGUUCUAUAAACUUCAUAAGACGCACAUGUGACGUAACAUAUUUCAAAUGGUUUUAUAGGCUCUCUUUUAUAUUAAGAUAUUGUCUUUUUUAACACUAUCAACGAAAAUAAAUAAAAAUUGA
This is a long non-coding RNA of Varroa destructor (honeybee mite), 1598 nucleotides long. RefSeq lists it as uncharacterized. NCBI's taxonomy places the organism in Eukaryota, Metazoa, Arthropoda, Arachnida, Mesostigmata, Varroidae. The record is from RefSeq and is a predicted model, not a curated record.